Molecule: long non-coding RNA, 14826 nt
Filed under: Xyrichtys novacula (pearly razorfish)
Lineage: Eukaryota; Metazoa; Chordata; Actinopteri; Labriformes; Labridae
Source: RNAcentral
GUGACCUCAGCGGUAAGAAACUAAACAAUGAAACACAUCCCAAGUGAAAAUUGCGUUUUUAUGUGUUCAUUUUUGUUUUAUGAUACUUAUUAAAACCCUAGAGUGGACAAAAAUAGCAAGAACAUCGUCUAAUGUCGGCGUGUGGUCUGAGGCCUGUUGACCCCCUUCAUACUAAUGUGUUCACUCAGGUGAGUUAGCUAACGGUAGCACGAAGCUAACAAGCGGACGUUAGCUGAUGAGUAAACAUAUUUAACACUUGUCUGGUGUAUCAGAGAAACUCCUAUUAAAGUGUUAAGGUUCUUUUCUGCACUAUUAUUAUGUUAAUUGCUACAGCCAGUCUAUACUAUAUAAAAAUAUGUGUUUAACUUUAAAAAGGUGCAUCAGUGACAAACACACAACUGGUUUAAAGAGUACUUUUAUCUUGGCUUUGUUCACAGAUCAGGCUUUUUGAUGGAGUCGGAGCCUUUUAAGAUGGAGCAAGUCUGGUUGAGAUCCCUGUACCCACAGAGGAGGAUUUACAGCCCAGAGAGGUUUUCAGAGUUUCCAGAGAGAGACUUCUCUUGGACUGGAUGAAGAGGUGAACCAGAAGAGAUACAAGGUAGGACUGAAUUGUUUACACAAAUGCACACGCUCAGUACUAGAGAUGUCAAACCAGACUUUAUUCAUACUAUUCCUGCAAUGGAACAGUAAUAAUAAAUGAUACCUACAAAGUACUUAAGAUUUUUAUUGCAUUAUUUUGUCAUACAAAGCAUUAAAGCACCUGUAACUUCCAUAUGAGCCUUGUUGCGGUCGUGGUAAAGUGGUAGAGUUGUGGUCUCUCUAUUAAAUGUUGGGGUUUCUGUUCCAAUCUUGCUGUCCCCAUGUUAAGGUGUCCUUGUCCUUGAUGUGUCAGUUUACCGCAGGCGCUGGAGAUGAAGAGAGAUGGAUAAAUUAUAGUAAAUGCUUACAGGACAGAAGUUACCUGACUUUUACUCAGAUAUGUAAGGUGUGUAGAUCUCUUGCUGAUUGGAUGAGUGUUGUGUUCUGUAGCUGGCAAUAGCUCUUGGUGGAUAAACAACAAUGUAGUAGAGUCUUUAUUCAGGGUAAGAGUCUUUGAAGGACCUGGCCUCCUAAGUAUUCACCUAUGAUGCCUCCCCUAAAGAAGUGAGGCUGUACUGAGUCUGUCUUUUUAACCGUUUGUAAGUUGGUGUUCCUUUGAGUUGAAACCAGGAACUUGUUUUGGGCACUCUUUGCAUCUAAGGGAAGCAGGUUGCAGUUAAUGGACACAUUUUGAAGAGCUGUCAGAAUGAGACAGCCUUUGACAUGCUGUUGCUAUGACACCAUCUUUCUCUGAUUCCUCCUUUAAAGGAUGAAACCCUUAAAUAGGGAAACAUCUGUUGUUUUUUUGUUUUGCUUGUUUUAAAUGAUGGUGUAUUUGCUGAAGAUAGAUAUGAAGUGUCACAAAAACAAUUCAUAUGACUCUCAAUGUACAGUAUCCUAAGUGUUGGUCAUGUAGGCAUGAGGCUGCACAUUUUCCCACCAACAGCCCAGUUUGCCUGCAGUGAUUAUACCCCAGGCUAAUGUAUUGAUGACUCACCAAUGUAAAAAUGCUUAUGUAGCACUUUUAAUCCAAAGUGCUGUUGCAGCUCACUGAGAAACUAGAUCCUUGUCUGACUCUAUAUUCAGCAAGUGUCGUAGCACUUAUGAUUACUAAACAAUAGCCCUCAUAAAUCACAAAAGGUUAAAUUUGGGUAAUAUUCAUUAAUAGAGCGCCACUCUGCUUGGCUUGUUUAGGUUUCCUGCAUGAUUCAUCAAAAUAACAGCUGUUUGGUUAAUGGUUUAAAUUGGAUAAUCAGUCAUAUCACUUUGCCACGCCUCUGUUGACAUUAAAGUCUCGAUGGGGCAAUUUUUCAGCUUGAUGAUUAAUUUCGUCAUGCAGACAAAUUAGGAGAACUUUCUUAAAUUUGUAACUCUUAUUGAAAACGACUGCACUUUAUUGCACAAUGGAUCUGAUCUUGAUGCAUAUGCACCUCAUACCAUUUGUUAUCCAGAGAAAACGGGAAAGGUUCCACUGUAAAUAUGGAUUGCAGGUCUUAUUUUUCAUAAUUGGAGUCAAGUUGAUGUUUGGAGUUUGAGAGAGACCACCUGGGCAAGACGUUUAUAAUCAGAGAAAAGGUUUCCCAACCCAGUGCACAACUAAUAUUUCAAAUCUCCCAACCCCGAACAUGCUCUGUGCCAGGAUAUCAAAGCAGCAAUAACUCAUAUGUAGAAAGGGAUGUGAGAACUUCCACAUGGCCUUAGGGCUCUAAGUAGAGGAGUUGCCUUUCCCUAAAUGUCAACAAGCCGUGUAUGUAUGUGAAAGAAAGACAAACAGAGAGGAAAAGAUGCUGGAAAAUUUCUUCAGGAGAAAUUUGGAAGUGAGGGAAGUCAAAGGUUUCUCCAAGAUUCCUCAAAAUAUUGGAUCAAAAUUUUGGAACUUUUAAUAGGAUAAACUUCAAGAAUGUUCUCACAUAUUAAGGCCCUGGAACCUGGGUUAACAUCAUUUAUACUGCCACCCUCGAGAGAGAGCCCUGCAUUCAAGUUACAGACCAGUUUAGCAACCAGACUCUCUUACUACAGCCAUGCUGUUAUUUGGCAGUGCUUUGCUCUAACAUGUAAGGUCUUCCCUGAUGAAGACAUGAUCUGGAUGGCAGCAUUUGUUGUCAUUACAUGUGUCUAUAAUCUUAAAGAGAAAUUUUGUCUUUAUAUAUGUGUAAACAACCCACAGGCAUUUUUACAUCCUCAUAGCAUCACAGAGACAGGCCUCUGAACCGUGUUCUGAUAACAAGCUUGUGUGUCCCUCUCCUCUUUAGAGUGAAGGAAGAGGUGUCUAUGGUUUCCAAAAAGAAUUAAGUUUUAAUUCAAAUCACAGACCCAGAGACCCAGAGAAGUUUAUGUGUCUCUGGAUCAUGGCAUAUCUACAAACCGUGGAUUUGGAAACUGUGAUUUUGAGCCCGUUCUGUGAGUCCCACUAUAGCCAUGUCUGAUUUUAAUGUGUUGCUGUUUAGGGGCUGACAACCAUGGCCACCCGGUAUUAGUUCAUGGUCUUGUUCCUUUUUGUGCAGAGAUUUCUUCAGAUUCUUUGAAUCUCUUUAUGAUAUUUCUCUGAAAUUGUUUUCUCAAACAGUCUCUCACAGAGUAGUGAACCUGUUCCCAUUCUGACUUCUAAGAAACUCAACCUCCUAUUAAAUGCUCUUUUCACACCCAUUCAUGUAACCAACCUGUUGUAUCUGUACUCUAGUGUUUGAGUCAUUGUUCAGUUUCAAAUAUGCUCUGGUAAAAAAAGGGCAAAUUAAGCAAACAGCUAAAAUGCCUCAAGUAAUCCGAAAUGAAAUGGUCUGAAAAAAAGAUGAGCGAAACCCUUUUUGGCGUGUUUCCAUCACACAAAAGACUUGAGCGUAGAAAAACACGUGUCCUUUUUCCUCAGCCAUGUAGUGGGUAUGAUAGUUCAUCAAGCAGACAAGUGAAAACACAGAGAGGUGUGUGUUUCCUCGCACUGCCUGAAGCUUUAAGUUUGACCUUCUCCCUCUCACCUUCUCCGUCUCUCUCCUCUGCCCCGGGGCACCGCCGAGUGGGCCUAUGGGAGGAGCAGGCGAGGGGGCCCCUGGCAUCACCCAUACCUAGACUCCAAAAAAGAAACAAAAAUCUUAAAGGAUGAUGGCUAGCCUUGACGUGGUUGAGACAGUGUUCGGGUGAGGAGAAAUGAGGUAAAUAUCAAUGGCGGUGGUCUCACAUAGCCCAUUAGUCAAUGUCUGCAGUCGCUGUCUGAGUAUCAGCACAGAGCAGCCGCAGGGUUCACACCACCUCCACUGUCCUCCCCAAGAAUCGUACCCAGGCGAAAAUAAAGCAACCCGAGCUGGGCAUAAAUCAUUAGGAACAUUUGUUACCUCGGGUAAUUGUGCUUCAUUCAUCUUCAGGCCUUUUUUCCAUUUGUCAACUCCCAAAGGUUGCUGGGUGUCAGCUGUGCAGGUCUGUGCUGUAGGUUAGCAUGAUGGGGCCUAACCAGAGCCACAGCAGAGGAGGUCUGCAGGAAGCAUGAUACAUGACACAGGAGAGUAGAAGAAACUAGGCCACUAUGCAGACCCCUCUGUGCAGACUGUGAUGCAAAUGUUGGUCUGCUGAUGCAUCUUUGAAAGUGUACCUGUAGGAUCAGCUCAGUGACACACGUUGGACUUAUGUGAAUUUUGUUAUACUGAGAAACUUUUCAUUCAACUUUUUGAUAACUUUAUAUACAGUAUGUAAAAUGUCAGGGUUUGUCUCUAUGUAGCAAGCUAAGAAAGGAUUAGGAUGGGUUACUAAUAUAAACACAAGACAUAUCUUUGUGGUUCAGAAGUAGAGUGGUUCAGUCAGGAGCCUUUCCUGGUCAUCUUGGCAAAGAAACAGAACCUUAUUGUUUCUAAAGGCACGGUCUUAGGUGGAUCAGUCCCUGUGAAUGGUUGAAAGGCACCAGCAAUGUUGAUUUUGGCAUGAAAUUUAGUUUUAGGACAGCUAUUUUCAUAAAACUCAGGCUGAUUUGAGUCAUAUUGUUUUCUUUGUAUUGUUUGUUUUUGUGCUUCAGUUGUUUUGACAUUCAAAGUGUGUUUCCUCCCAUUUUACAUCCAAAAAACACUCUUUUGUAAUCGGGGAUGAUGCACUCAGUUACUUCAUCUUCCUUCCUUCAUACUGUACUGGUAGUAGGUUGUAGGAUGACAUCUGUCAGCAGUAGCUUUGUUAGGCUUUUUAUAAGAUGGCUAAUAGCCAGUUAGUUCUGGCUUACCACCAGAAACUGUAAAUAGACUUCUUACCAACAUACUGGGCAAAAAAAUCAUCCAACGACAAUGAAGGAGAUAAAUCGGAGGUAGUUGGAAUUUGUACUAGUGCACCUGCUGCAGAUAAGUGAUGGUUUAGAAGGAAAACAAACAGUGAUGUGGCUUUUCCUUGCUGACUUUAUCAUUGUACGUCAGAGCAGUAAUGAACAGUGCUUGUGCCAUUUUUAAAAUUGUAAAUAUGCUUGGUCAUGAUAAUCAUAAAGUUAAUAAAUACCACAACUAUCCCCCUUGAGCUGCUUCACUUUUAGCAAGUAAUUACCCACCCUGUUCUUCCUCUUAAACACACAGAGAGUGCUCUGUUGUCUAUGAAUAUCAUUACAGAAUACCAAAAAUGCCUUUUGAUAUGAAGCUGGCGAGAAAAGCAGUUCAGCCAAUUUGUGGCUAAACACACCCUGAAACGCAGACAGAGGAACAGCAGACCGAGCUCAGGCUGGGGGUGUGUUCAAAUGUGCAUUGUGAUCCACUCUUUAGGAAGGCAUCUAUUAACACCAGUUGUAACCUUGCUGCCUUGAAACCUGUCUUCAGCUGUUAGCACCCUGCCACCUCCAUUCACCUCAGUGACACACACGCGUCUUUCACACAUCAUCCUCUGGAACACACACACACACACACUCACACUUACACACUCACACACUUUGAUUUAUGUACAGAUAUAAAAGCACCAAGAGCACUCUCUCUAACAAAAGGCAAUCUCGGCUCUCUUGAUGUUCCUGUGGGUUUUUCCCUUUGAAAUACUCCACUGCACCAGUUUUCACAACUAAGUAACACAGCAGGACAAUGAGACACCAUAUAAAGAAAAAGAGGAUCAUGAAUAAAGGAGAAGCAGGGAAGGAGAAAACCUUGAAGAAGAUCCAUAAAAUGAGGGAGUGUUAGAUAUAGUACACCAUCCCCUCCAAAUGAUACAUGAAUUUCUGAUAUAUCUCAACCAGUCUGAAUAAUUUAUGUGAGCAAUGAUUUGAAGUCUGAAGGACCACAUCCAGGAAGAAAUUUUACAUGAAGACAAAUUGACAAGAGUGAAACUAAGCGCACUGCAAUGUGCUGCUGUCAGUCAAAGCUGAAAUAAAUUUGAGAAAAUUCAAUAACUGUAGGUCAGCAGUGCUGCAAUAUUACAUUUAACACCAGCAAAAGAUGGCUGUGCUCUAAGCAGUCUCAAAUCAGCUAAACGUUAUAAUGUUCAAACAGUGUUUUUGUAUCAAAACAGUAUCUUUAAAUUUGAGCUCAUUACUCUUGUUAGGCCUGAAAUCAAUUAAUAGAUCAAUCAGUUAGUUUUUAUUGAUAUAGUACCAAAUCAUAACUAUUAUUGUGUCAAGAUGCUUUCCAAGAGAGCAGACCAUACUUUUUGUCUGAUCAUAGAUCACAUGACCACUCUGAGUACACAACCAGGCCUCGACAUUCCCUCAUUAUAUAAAGUGAUUAGCUAAUAACAGCAAUAUAAGAUUCAAUAAUUGCUGACACAUGUAAGGUCGCUAUCAUCCGGGAUAAAACAUGCAAGCUAUCUGCUGCAAAUCUGGGCUACAGGGGCGUGUCUAGACUGUUGUUUGGGUGGCUCUGUUGUGGCAUUGCCAAAGCAAUCGAGACCAGGGUGCUGUGUGCACACCAAAUUUACUCCCUUUUUCUCCUUUUUUCCUUCACUGUCUGCUUGAACAACCUUUUUUACAGAUAACUUGAUAACUGAUACAUCCUCGUGCACAUCCUCUAAGCUUAGUUCUUUAAGGACCUGAAAAAAGUUUGACCAAAGUCACAUUUGAAGAUGCUUAUAAAAGAAAAUGUGCAUCAAAUACAAAGAAAGUUGCAGCCAGCUUGCUAAUUGAGUAGUUUACUUAACCACCAUAACCACCUCUGAUGAGUCAUAUAGCCAAUCAUAUCUUAGGGUUUUGGUGUAGUACCUGGAAUGGCUAAUUAAAUCACAGAGAAGGGGGCAGUGGCACCACUGGGUAGCCUUCGGGACAUACCCCAGUGAUAUUGUCUAUUUUUGUCUAAAAUAGUGAAAUGAUGGCAGUGUGAGGGAUUAUGGAGGAUAAUCAAAUGUAGGGGGUUCAAUCCCACAUGCCUAAAUGUUCUUGGGCAUGACCCUUCACCCCAACCAGGCAAAAAUACCUCUGCCUUUUGUGUGUUUAUGUGGAGUGAACAGUUGAAUGUGACGUGUAUUAUAAAAGUGCUUUGAGAAAACUUCAGGAAGCAGAAAUUGACAAAAGCUUUAGUCAGAAAAUUUGAGAUGUGUGAUGAAGAGAAACAGAGAGAGGGGGAUACAUCCAGGGAGGUUUUUUUUUAGCUCAUCUGAGAGCUGCACGAAUGGCUGGGUGGCUGCUGCUGACAGGUGAGGAUGUCUUUAAUCAACAGCUGCUAGGAAGCUACUGAAGAUAUGAGGACAGAUAACACAGGCAGGCUGCACAAACGACCAGGGAAAAGAGAGAGAGAGAGAGAGAGAAAAACCACAGACAAAGGUGUGCGAACAGCCACAGCCACAUUCUCAGCCUGCAAACACCCUGUCACCACUUCCAGUCUCACCUCCUCCCACACACACUUAUCUCCCCAAAAUCUGAAGGAGGCGGAUGCUCUGAAGAUCUAGACACCACCCGCUCCAACAUAAUUAGCAGAAGACGUGCAGCCAGCCGUUGCCCGAGCUCACUAACACUCGUUUGGUCCCAAAACAAACACACUAGUGAUCUAGAACAAACAAAGAUAAUGCCCUCCAGCCUCUUCUCAGGAACUUGUCACACAGUCCCGACCGCUUGGUAAAGGAAUUUUAUUAUUGAGUUGGAUCAAAUGGAUACAAGAUGACACACAAACAACAGACAAAUGCAAGCAUGCAUACCUCACCGAUGUUAUUAAUUCAUACAUGAUUAUUGUUUUGUUUCCUGGUAUCUCAUUCUUUAAGAUGGGGCGUAUAGGUGAUGCAAGACAAAGCUUUCUGUCAUCCGGCCAUAUGAGCACCUAUCCAAGCUGGCCGCAGUACAGAUAACAGGCGCAACUGCAAUACCAGUCCCCAGGGAAACAGCUUUAUUUUGGCGCACAGGUAGCAGAGGGAGGGAGAAGCUGCGGGUCAGCAUCCUGCUUCUAAACCUGGAAGAGGAAACUAAUCCGAGGUCAAGGAGGGCCAUGGCGUUGAGUGAAACUUCACAUGAGGAUGGAGUAUUUAAAGUGUACUCCCCUCUCCCUGACUCCGCCGUCUUCAUUAUAACUCUGCACCUGGGCCGAACACUGAUCCAUGGGGAACUCCCUCAUGGCCACAGCCAGUCAGGCCCCUAAAUCUGUCCCCAGCCCCUCAUUCACUUCCCACUUAUCCCUCCUUCCUCCCGUACUCUUCCUUCUCUGCAGCGUUGGGUCAAGCUCAGAGCAACAAUACUGAGCCGGUGAGGACAGGAAAGGGAUGAGGUGGGAUUAGGGAGAUAAGUGAGGGUCGAAAUAGCCUUGGAAAAAUGAUAACUCUGGUCCCUGUUUGUUACUCUCACAAUCAAUAAUGGGACGUAAUCAGAGACAUUUUCAACACUUCUCCUGGGUUUCAGGAUCCCAGUUGCCCGUUGUCAUCCGGUGUUGAGAGGGUGACAUGGGCCUGGACCCAGCUAGCACCUGCCAACAAGCUUCUGUGGGUGUCCAUCUCACACACAGACGUGACACAGUUCUCAGACUUUGAGACAAAACUGCGAGUCCUUAAAGACAUGGAAUAGAAAACGUUCAUGGCUGCCCCUCUGUGUUUAAGUAAUGGCGUUUUGUCGUACAUGUCUGUAAUGAAAAGCUGUGCGGUAUCUGACCCUGUUCACUCUCAGGCUGCAGAACUAAAAACCUAUUUGUCUGUUGAAACCUAAAGGUUGCCCUGCAGACUUUUCCUGUAAACAAACAGAGUUGCUGUUUACAUAUAGUGUUUCUCACCAAAACACAUUGUGUGUGUUCUUAACAAAUUUGUGUAAUGCAUUUCCUCUGGCAGAAAAACAUUUGCAGAGCUGAAUUUUUUUAAAGUGGGAAGCCUGCGUGGUUUAAAACCCUUCAGACUGUCUUCACUAAAAAAUAAGAGUGAAAGACUGUAUUUCUUGGUUAUCACUGAAACAGUGAUGUUUUUGGCAGAAAUGUGUGUCUCAUUAUUUUAAUGUGUUUGCCCAAAGCAGCAGCAAAAUUUAAAGAUUAAAAUCAGUGCAUAUUACGAAAACCUGCAGGUCUUAAAAUGUCCAAACAGCCUCUAUCUCUAUUCGUUUACACUGUGGGGGUGGUGAAUCCUUCAUAACUCGCUUGUUUAUUAGAUAUUAAGGCAUGAAGAGGAUAAUAAGGAGCACAGCUAGCUUGACUGGCAGUUUGGCAAACUACAGCUGUUUCUCGAAGGCUAUAGGCCCACCGCAACUCUGCCCCCUCCACUCUUGCUAAGUUGACAAAAGUUUGAAUUGGCAUUUGCAAUAAUGCAACUGCCAUGUCUGAACUUCUAAACUCUGCUUUCGGAGCUUAUGGUGAUGUCAUAGAAACCACUCUCAUGUUUUAAACAGUCUGUGGUUUGUAAAUGGGGCUAAAUAAAUGACUAGUAACUGAAAAAAAAACUCUGUAUAUCUGCGUCUGUUCAAAAACUUUACAGUUUACGUCUGUUAUGAAUGCAUUUGACUGUCGUGUAUGAGAUAUAGGAAUUUUCUGUAUUAGUAUCUGCUGACAUUGUAUGUUAAUUGUUUCAGUAAAUAAAGCAUAAUAGUUUUUUGAGAUGGAAUUGAUUUCUAGGUAUAGCUUUUAUUAAAGUAAUCAUUUCAACUAGUAAGGGAUAAUGUAUAGUGAGCGGGUUGUUAUGUGAAUUGAAAGUCCAGCAGAAAAAGCAGAGUCUCAGAUGAAAAGCAGAGAGGUCUCGUUGCACCUUAUUGAUUUAAAAAUGAUUUAUUUAUACAGCCAAAGUUUCCUGGUCUGUCAUUUUUCCCUUGUUUUUUUCUCUAAUACAACUUUUGCACUCUUUGCUUGCAUGAAAAUAUUGGACUGACAAAUCUAAUAUCCAGAUGAGCCUGAGGCGUGGGUAUUUAUUAUGAAGCAUUACAAACAGCUCGUGAUUAUUUGUGCUACGGUGGUGUGAUGAAUAUUGUUUAACUGCCUUUUUAUAAGUAUGUCUGCAGGCCCGUGCCAUAUGUUGUGCCAGAGUGUUUACACCGAGAGCUAUUCCCACUGAGUCACUCUCCUCAGCCAGCCAGGCCAGCAGUGGCGUCAUGCAGCUGCUCCAGCCUCAGCCCCGGUCUGGAUCUGUGUUAUUGUUUCUGGGAGCAUUACCACGCUUAAGUGCGACAACAUAAUUUGUAACAAUAAGAAGAAAUUUGCCCGAUGCCAUCUGUGCACGGCAUGUACCUAUAGCGCUGUGAGCAGAGAGAAAGUGACACAUACACACAUGCACAUUCAGAGGGAGAACAAGGCUGCACCUAAAACACACGCUAGACCAACGUCUCACUACAGUUUGUCUUCCAAACACAGGCAGGCUCAGAUUUCAGGUCCUCUGGUCUCCAAAAUAUAUAUCGAAGUACACAUCAGGCUGUGUGUCACCGCUGUUUACAGGAAAGUGAUUUAUGAGGCUUUUUGGGGAGAGUAGAGAAGGCUGAUAUGGGCUGAAUAUGUUUCAGAGUGAGGCUGAGAGGAAGUCAAGCUACUGUGGUUAUUGAAUAAUCACCCGAAAAGUCAUUAAUGAGGUUAUUUAUCCGAGAGAAAAACUUGAGACAGCUACGAUUUUUGUGUCAAUCAAGAUACACAAACAUGUCAAAGAGCCAUUAGUGAAUUAGUCUCAGCAGUUACAUUUUUCUCUAGUGGUUUUUGGCUUGUGAAACCUCCUAUAAUGCUUGAGUAAAUGCCAGGCAUAACUGCAUGUGUGUAAGAUAAACAUAGUAUGCAUUUUGUCAAAUAUAGCAACCCUACCAGACAGUGGAAGAUCUAUGUUCCUCUGCACUGCCUUUUUAUGACAGGCCCUUUGUGUUGGACUCUACACACGACAACUAGUCCAACUGGUACAGCUCCAUUUUUAUUUAGACUUAACGCUUGAAUCCAUGCGUGUGUGCGGAGCAGGUUUGAAUCCUUGCACAUGCAGUACACAGUGUGACAUUGCACACAUGCAUACUUCACAGGCCCCCCAACUGUGUAUUCUCAAAACACUGACUUCUGUGGCAAAUAUGCCAUGAUGAAGGCAUGGUGGUGUAUUGUUAGGAGAUAGAGAUAGAAGGAGAGAUAAAACCCUUUUUACAGGAAGUAGAAAACAACUCCACUCAAAGUCUAGUAGAUAUAAGGGCACGCAGCUUUUCACAAGCAGGGGUGACAAAUUAGACCCUCAGACUUUUGAAGUUAAAAAUUUAUCUGAUGAAAAACAGAGUUCUGUGAGAAAAAAGGGGCAAUGACUAAUGAUGAAGAUUAGAUUUUUGAUAACGUAGCAAAUAGUUUGGAAACUAGAUCUGCCAGGGUAUCAGAUUUGUACCUCACAAUUAUUGUGGCCAUGAAAUAUCACAAAAACAAGAUUAUCUUAAUGUUUACAGAAAAUUUAAAAAACUAACACAUUCAAUAACAAUAUGGAAAAGCAAGACAAGGGUGGAGCGACACAUAAAUGUUAUGUUGUCAUCCAUUUUAAAGGAUGUUUAGAUUUAGGAUUUGUCCACAUCAAAUGUUACCGCAUCAAACAACUUUGGGUCAUGCUUUUAUUUUGAAAUUUUCUGUCUUGCAUUUAGGUUGCCUUAUUGCCUCUUGUAGAGUAAGUUACUGAACUGAAUGAGAACAGUUAAACGAACGUUAAAGUAUGAAUGUUCAACUGAUUGGUAAACCCAAGAAGGCAAAAGCUCUAAGAUCAUUUGAACAUCAGCAUUUAAAAUCAUCUCUCAAAGUGCUGCUAUAGCUUGCCUGCUGACAGUUGUUACUUCUUCUUCUAUGAUACCACUGAUGAACUCAGUAUUAGAUGUAAAUGGCUCCAUGCUCUGGGAAACACAGCAAAUACUGACAUGACAAACUUGCUGGUCAUAAAAAUGUGACUGUGGUUUGCUUCAUCGUCCAUGAAGUUGUCUUCAAGUUAACCAGGGCCUUCAUGGAUCUACAUGUGGUCAUAACACACUCACUCUGUCUUGUUGUAAUAUGAGGGUGAGAAGACGUGUAGAUCAGCAGGCCGGCUUCAGGGGAAACUUCUCGAAUCAUAUAAUUUUCAUUCAGUUUUUUUAUUCUUUCCUCCAAAAAAUGCUUAAGCAGAAGUAGGGAUUUGUCUAGAAACAGCCUUGAAUGUUCCAGUAUAACCCCCAAGUCUGUGCUAUCAUGGGAACACAGGGUUUAUGCAUUGCAGAAAUUUGUAGACAAAUACAGAAUAUGUCAGUGAAGUUUUAAUGGUUUAAAACUCUUAAUCCAAUUUAUUUAAUUCAAAAUAAACACCAAGAUAGUUGGAUAUUUCAAUCAGACCUUAAAUUGUUUUAUUUGUGCGAGGACAUGAAAACCUCUAAACCUCAGAGUCCACUAACACUCUGCUGAAGUUGUGCUUCGCAUUGUGCUCAAACCAGCACCAUGUGUCAGCGUGUUCCCUGGUAGCAUGUUGGCAUGUCAUCGGUACCAUCAGGACAAAUUUAACUUGAUUUAUUGUUCUUGGCGAUUAAAGCAAUUUGGAUUCUGAUAAUGAGUUUGAUGAGGGUCAAACUGUGUGCAGAACAAUAAGAGCCACAUGUGCCUCAAUGCAGUUACAAACCACAUGAAACAGAGGGAGGUGGAGUUGAGAGGAGGAGCAGGGAGCCAAUUCAAUCCAGAUACGUCCAGAUUCAAACAUUCAGCGGAAGGUGGCCCGGGCUCAAACACCAAACGACCACCCCAAAGCCACCCUGUGGUCUCACCAAAGACAAAUGAGCUGCUCAGGCUCAGUGGCAUCAAAUAGAUCCAGUUUCAGAAUAGCUUGGUCUUCCUCUGCCUUGGGUUAGAGAUUUAACAGUUAAGAUGUACACUUCCUACUCCCAAGUAUGCAAGGAAUUUGAGCGAAGAAGGAAAAGAGCGUGAGGGGAAAAAAAUCAAAUCAAUCCAUCGUUUCGUGUGUGCUUUGGCAUCGGAAGAAUAGUCUUUUUUAACCAUAGUGUGAGAUGGAGAAAGAGGUAUAAUGGUGGGAGUGUGGUGUUUAUUGGUUUCUGCCAAGCCAGUCAGAGAAGCAAACACACAAGCAGAGUGAAACCUGAUCGACUGGCACGCUGCCUGGACCAGCGGCAGCGCGGUGCAGCGUCAGGGGAAAAACACUGACAAACAUACAUAAGCACAGGACCCAGGUCUCCAAAUAAUCAUAAGAUGAGCAGGCCAGAUAAAAAAAAGACCCCAAACACUCCAGGGAAUUUAAAAAUGUCUGAGCAUGUUUUAUGACAAAGAUUCAGCACCGAGGAUCUACGUGAAAGUCUGACUGAGGAUGACUUUUAAGCGUCUCCUUGGAUGAGGGGAAGUUUUCCGAUUGAAGUCUACUAAUUCCAUCCCCUUGAUCCCAUCCCACUUCGCUUUCCUAACCCCCUCCAACACACACAUACACACAGACAAAUACACACUCUGGCCCAGCAGGAAAAUCCCUCUGUGGCCAGGCGUUUCUUUUUAACUUGAUAUGCUUGUGAAUCACCCCCAGUGCUGCAGUGCUGCUCCACUAAUGAACACAGGGCCCACAGACGGAGAUGUCCAUGCCCUGCUACGCUCCUCCAUCACACUGGAAAACAGGAUCCAGCUGCCCAGCACCCUGUCAUUAUGGGGAAAAAACACCCAGAACACCCUCUGCUUGCCCCUAGACUCGUCUCAUCCCCUGACCACAUCUUAUACUCAACCGACUUAACCUUAGUAACCUGCCUCCACCUUCAACCCUGCCCCAGCUGCAGCAAUAACCAGCAUCACACAUUAAUUUAUUCUCUUGAUCACUUGUUUUUAUUGAGACACCACAGCCAUGCUGCCCCACUUCCUUUAGCAUCACGCCACAUUUUUAAGUUUUUGCUCUGUGGAUUGAGAAGCAACUUGAAACCAAAAUCCACAAAAGCCUUUGACUAGAUAAUUUAGGGUUACAGAAGCAUUAGAAAUUAGUCUAGAUAAAAUCUGUCGCUUGAGUUUCUUGGAAGCUUCCCUGUUAUUGGGUUUGGAUCAGGCCCGGACAAAUCCAAAUAUUAGUGGUGAAAAGUAACUGAAUUAAGCAUUAAAUGUCUCAAGAAAUAAAUCAAGAAGUUUUGCCUUCUUCAUUGGCCGCCAUUUUUACUCCUGACAAUCAUUAACAAGCCUCUCUGCACAGUCAGCCAUGACUCCAAAAUUGACAAAUGACGAGGCCAAAAUGUUCAAGAACCUCCCCCUGAAUAAUUGCAGAAUCAAAAUCACUUCAAACAUUAAUGCUGUUGGUUUUAUUACAACAAUCAGCUGGGAAAAUAAGCUUUUUACAUAAUUGUUGAUAGAAAGAAAUGAGUGAUGCACCGGGUCAGGGGAAAUAAAAGUUUUAAAGUAAUCUGGUGCCUUUCAAGGAUAAGGGGCUAAAGGUCAAUUGGAACUGUCUACUUAUAAACAGGAUGAGAUCAGGAAGGAGAUUUGAGGACAAAUAGUUCCUCAUGGAAGCUUCACAGAGAUAGUCAGCUUGUAUGACUUACAUGACGAGCCAUUCUGGGUGCUGGUCAGCUCAGCUCCUUUAAUAAGAAACUGCGAGGAGAGCCAGUUUGCAAGCUAGGCUACAGUUCUCUGCAGUCAGGGUUGAGUCAGCCUUGUAAUUUACCACAUUGAAGAGACUCUAAUCCAAGCACUCUUCUCAGUUUAAGGGCAUGCUCUACUGAUAACUUUUUUAGCACAUUGACCAAAAAGCUCAUUCAUUUAUGCACAAUUUGCAGAUUCAGCACAUGUCCUUGCACCUGCUCGUGAUUCGUGAUGUGUAACUCAUUCAGCCCCAUUUCAAAAAUACUGAACUCUCCUUUUUAGUGAAUGAUAUCAGUUUGCAAGGCUUCUGCUUCUGGCUUACCAAGUGUCCUGUUUAGGGCUACACGGCAGUGAUUGUGAUGAUGGGGAUGCUCCAUACAAAUUUCAUAUUUAACCUUGUUCAACAAUAACAAUAAAU